UAAUACGGAGGGUGCAAGCGUUAUCCGGAAUCAUUGGGUUUAAAGGGUCCGCAGGCGGUCAAUUAAGUCAGAGGUGAAAUACCAUAGCUCAACUAUGGAACUGCCUUUGAUACUGGUUGACUUGAGUCAUAUGGAAGUAGAUAGAAUGUGUAGUGUAGCGGUGAAAUGCAUAGAUAUUACACAGAAUACCGAUUGCGAGGGCAGUCUACUACGUAUGUACUGACGCUCAUGGACGAAAGCGUGGGGAGCGAACAGGAUUAGAUACCCUGGUAGUCCACGCCGUAAACGAUGGAUACUAGUUGUUGGGCAUUAGCUCAGUGACUAAGCGAAAGUGAUAAGUAUCCCACCUGGGGAGUACGGUCGCAAGACUG
RNAcentral lists this ribosomal RNA (371 nucleotides) under uncultured Bacteroidota bacterium. RNAcentral describes it as "bacterial SSU rRNA". It matches the Rfam family "Bacterial small subunit ribosomal RNA", at positions 521 to 896 of the family's 1533-position model. The record is from RNAcentral. Lineage: Bacteria; Pseudomonadati; Bacteroidota.